Molecule: ribosomal RNA, 222 nt
Filed under: uncultured bacterium
Lineage: Bacteria
Description: partial 16S ribosomal RNA
Rfam family: Bacterial small subunit ribosomal RNA
Source: RNAcentral
GAUCCUGGCUCAGGAUGAACGCUAGCUACAGGCUUAACACAUGCAAGUCGAGGGGCAGCAUGGUCUUAGCUUGCUAAGGCUGAUGGCGACCGGCGCACGUGUGAGUAACACGUAUCCAACCUGCCGUCUACUCUUGGCCAGCCUUCUGAAAGGAAGAUUAAUCCAGGAUGGCAUCAUGAGUUCACAUGUCCACAUGAUUAAAGGUAUUUUCCGGUAGACGAG